GGGGCUGUAACUCAGCUGGCUAGAGUGCGUCCAUGGCAUGGACGAAGUCAGGGGUUCGAAUCCCCUCAGCUCCACCA
RNAcentral lists this transfer RNA (77 nucleotides) under Candidatus Altimarinota bacterium. RNAcentral's name for it is "tRNA-Ala". It matches the Rfam family "tRNA". From Rfam's summary of the family: Transfer RNA (tRNA) molecules are approximately 80 nucleotides in length. Their secondary structure includes four short double-helical elements and three loops (D, anti-codon, and T loops). The record is from RNAcentral. Lineage: Bacteria; Candidatus Altimarinota.